Molecule: small nuclear RNA, 108 nt
Organism: Marmota marmota marmota (Alpine marmot)
Lineage: Eukaryota; Metazoa; Chordata; Mammalia; Rodentia; Sciuridae
Source: Ensembl
AUGUUCACUUCAGAUGCAUAUAUACUAGAACUGGAACCAUGUGGAGAAGUUUAGCAUGUUCCCUGCAUUAAAGAUGACAUGCAAAUUUAGUAAGUGUACCAUAUUUUU